AGCUGCUGUCGGCUGGACUGAAGGAUCCAGGCUGGAGACUGGACACUCUCAGAGCAGUGUUACGAGGGAGCAGACGAGAGCGACUGAGGUCAAGUGAAGGAACGGCGCUGUCACAGUUCUCUCCCUCAUCAAUUGUCUGGUUCCAGCGGUGGCUCUGUGCUAGACGACCCAUCACCAGCUUUUUCCAGCUGUUUCCACUGGUUACCAGUACGUCAUAGAAUCCACUUCCAGAUCUUGUUGUUUGUCUUUAAAUCUCUGAGUGGAUUGGCUCCAUCUUAUCUCUCUUUAACAAAAUAAUCCAAGUGGAGCCCUCAGGUCUGCAGAUAAGCAGCUUCUGACCAGAACUAGCCGUAAAAACAGAGGUGAGCUUUAUCGAUGGCUGCAGACAAACUCUGGAACAGUCGCCCUUCACAUCAGGUCGUCACCAACACUCAACAUUUUUAAAACCCGGUUGGAAACACAUUUGUACUCUGUAGCUUUCAAUUCUGACGAGUCUUUAUAGUAAUUACUGUGUAUGUUUCCUAUUUUAUCUCUACUCUGUGCAGCA
Molecule: long non-coding RNA, 547 nt
Organism: Oreochromis niloticus (Nile tilapia)
Lineage: Eukaryota; Metazoa; Chordata; Actinopteri; Cichliformes; Cichlidae
Exons: 2
Source: RefSeq, a predicted model, not a curated record